UUUUGUUGAAGAGCCAUCUUCUAUUCCUUACAGUGAAAUUUGUCUCAAGUUGCAGAAUUCUAAAGCUUCGUUCAUUACUGUAGAAUUUGUGUCAAUGUGGAGAUUUGUAAAUAAGUAAACCAAAUUCAUCUAGUAUUUGAGUAUUGUUUGAAAAAGGAGUUAAGGAAGUCAAUAAAUGGAUGCAAUUAUGUUGCGGUUGAGAUUGGAAGCUCAAGAGCCCAAUCUUGGUCCCUAGACGCCAAUUAGGUGUGAAAAUUGGAUUUGAAAUAGAGAUUUAAUGCUUG
This 284-nucleotide long non-coding RNA is filed under the name Olea europaea (common olive). RNAcentral describes it as "long non-coding RNA (OEUR_LNC013376)". Lineage: Eukaryota; Viridiplantae; Streptophyta; Magnoliopsida; Lamiales; Oleaceae. The record is from RNAcentral.